UAUGUGCGUGGUUUUUAACCUUUCUC
This 26-nucleotide non-coding RNA is filed under the name Mus musculus (house mouse). The record is from RNAcentral. Lineage: Eukaryota; Metazoa; Chordata; Mammalia; Rodentia; Muridae.